RNAcentral lists this ribosomal RNA (497 nucleotides) under uncultured bacterium. RNAcentral describes it as "partial 16S ribosomal RNA". It matches the Rfam family "Bacterial small subunit ribosomal RNA", at positions 28 to 507 of the family's 1533-position model. The record is from RNAcentral.
GAUGAACGCUGGCGGCGUGCCUAAUACAUGCAAGUCGAGCGAACAGACGAGGAGCUUGCUCCUCUGACGUUAGCGGCGGACGGGUGAGUAACACGUGGAUAGCCUACCUAUAAGACUGGGAUAACUUCGGGAAACCGGAGCUAAUACCGGAUAAUAUAUUGAACCGCAUGGUUCAAUAGUGAAAGACGGUUUUGCUGUCACUUAUAGAUGGAUCCGCGCCGCAUUAGCUAGUUUGUAAUGUAACGGCUUACCAAGGCGACGAUGCGUAGCCGACCUGAGAGGGUGAUCGGCCACAAUGGAACUGAGACACGGUCCAGACUCCUACGGGAGGCAGCAGUAGGGAAUCUUCAGCAAUGGGCGAAAGUCUGACGGAGCAACGACGCGUGAGUGAUGAAGGUCUUCGGAUCGUAAAACUCUGUUAUUAGGGAAGAACAAAUGUGUAAGUAAAUAUGCACGUCUAGAAGGGACCUAAUCAGAAAGCCACGGCUAAAUACGUG